GAUGAACGCUGGCGGCGUGCCUAAUACAUGCAAGUCGAGCGAACAGACGAGGAGCUUGCUCCUCUGACGUUAGCGGCGGACGGGUGAGUAACACGUGGAUAACCUACCUAUAAGACUGGGAUAACUUCGGGAAACCGGAGCUAAUACCGGAUAAUAUAUUGAACCGCAUGGUUCAAUAGUGAAAGACGGUUUUGCUGUCACUUAUAGAUGGAUCCGCGCCGCAUUAGCUAGUUGGUAAGGUAACGGCUUACCAAGGCAACGAUGCGUAGCCGACCUGAGAGGGUGAUCGGCCACACUGGAACUGAGACACGGUCCAGACUCCUACGGGAGGCAGCAGUAGGGAAUCUUCCGCAAUGGGCGAAAGCCUGACGGAGCAACGCCGCGUGAGUGAUGAAGGUCUUCGGAUCGUAAAACUCUGUUAUUAGGGAAGAACAAAUGUGUAAGUAACUAUGCACGUCUUGAUGGUACCUAAUCAGAAAGCCGCGGCUAACUACGUG
Molecule: ribosomal RNA, 497 nt
Filed under: uncultured bacterium
Lineage: Bacteria
Description: partial 16S ribosomal RNA
Rfam family: Bacterial small subunit ribosomal RNA
Source: RNAcentral